CUCCCGUCAUCGCUCUGCCGAGGCUACAGGCUGCCGCCCGGCCCCGGGGGCUUAAGGCUGAUGGGGCGCGUGGUGGUAGAGACCCUGGGCUCAGCUUUGCGGGGAUGCUCCCGCAGCCGCCCCGGGCGAAGGCCUCCGGCUCUGUGCCAAGUAGCCGCGGGAGCCCGCGAAUGCCGCCAUAGCUGCGCGGUUGGGGACCGAUCUGGGCGGGGAGAGCUGAGUUCACAACACAGCUGUGCUCUUCCCCCGCCAAGAUGGGCAGGAGCUUCUGGCCCCGCUGGGCGAGGGGGGCAGGCCCGGGCGGUAUUGGCGACAGGGGUUCAAAGCUGCUCGGGGAGUUGAGGUGCCUGAAUCCAAAAUUUAGAUUUUCAAGUGCCAGUUAAGUAUCUAAAUCCCUUUGCAGAUAUUUUCACACGUCACGGCAAGCAGGCCCCUGCCCACCCGUACAGAAAGCAGCUAGAAAGCCAGGACUCACUGGCCAUGUGGACAGCCUGAACAGGGAGUGGGUUAACAGAAGCUGGUCUGGGGAAGCACUGAAUCUCUAGCUGGCACUGACUGGGCCCCCAAGUGGAAGCAGCCACAGGAGGUAUUGCCUUUGUCUGUCUACAUUGUCCCUUUGCUUGAAAAGGAAGAAAGCAGAAAACAGGAUUAGAGGGAACAGAGGAGCCUGAGGUAGUUGCUGCUACCCGGCUUCCAUCAUGAAAGGGGAAGAACGCAGUUCUUCUGUACAUCUGCUUGGGAAAACAGAUUAAUAAUCGGUUUCUCCUACUCCAGUCUUACUAGAACUAGAAAGAAUUUUCAAAAAGACUGAUUUUAUUGAACUGUUUAUUCUGGCUUAGAAUAAAAACCUUACUUUCAUGUAGCAAAGUACACUGAAGGUAUGCCAUGCUGCUAGUUACUGGGGGUACAAAACACCCCAAUUAGUAACCCAAACAAGUGGGGGAAAAGACGCAUCAACUCAGACCUUCACAGCAUGUAUCAUUGGUAUUAUUUACAAUUUCUCUUGUUUAAAUAAGCCUGGGAGACCUCAUACAGUAUACAUGGUUAUUGCAACAGUACAGCACUUGCCUUUAUGUUCAAAAACCUCAGAAGUUGUUCAGGAUCAUGAUUUGUGGUUCCCAAAAAGGCAUUGUUGUUAACAUGCAAAAAACAUUACUAAACAAUAUUAUCUAACUUCUACGGCUGCCAAUACUGGACCUUAAUAAGGAAACCAAUUACAAAAUACUUCCUUGUAGUGCUAUACAAAAAGAUAUAAAAUUAAGAUAAGAUUCUAUCAACCACUUUUAAAUAUUCCAAUUUUCCAACAGUGCAGUUUUCCACAUCUUUACCACCACUGAACAUUUUGAGGAUAAAGUUAACAAAAAUCAGCAAAUCAGAUAAAAAUUUUUUAAUCUUUGGAUCCCUUUAUUCCUGUGGCCUUCAUAUACAUAUACAAACGCAAAUUACCAGAUUCCUUUUUCAAUUAUAACUUAAACAUAUCAAAAAGUUGUAACUAGUAAUUUAGAAUUGAGGAAAAAAAAAUCCAUACCAAGUCAUUUGUGAAUUCACUGGUUUAACAACCAGAAUUUUGAAUGUCUCCAAGCUAGAGUCUAUCAAAAUGCAAACAACUUCAAACACUAAGAAUUCUCUUUAAAUUGAUUAUGUCUACUGGUAUUACAACAAAGUUAACAUUUCAAGAAUUGACACAUGGAGGCAUAUUUUUAUCCCAAGCAUUUUAGAAGGAGCAUAUUAACUCUCAUGCCUGGUCCAUUUUUUAAAAAGUGAGUAUUACCACAAAGUAAAAUUAAUUGCAAGUUCUGACAUGUGACAAAAUAUUUUAUUUUUGUUCUUAUUUGAAAAAUCUUCUUAAUUUGGUCAAAUCCUGUGAUAUGCCAGACAUUACAAAAUGAAGUUCUUGCAAGAAAGAAGAGUAUUCAGCUUUGUAUAAUGGAAGAACAUUUUCAAAUCUUCAUUAUAAUCCAAAUAUAAAAAUCAAACAAAUUUAAAGCCUGAAAAGCUACGAAGAAAACAAACUAACUCAGUGUUCUUUAGCAUAUCAACUUUUGCAAUAAACAUAGUAUGUUUGCGGACUUAAAAAUGUUUAUUCUUUAAAAAAUUAGUUGCUUUUUAUACAGCUAUACAAAGUUUGUAAUGUUUCUUUGGCAAUGGGAUAUAAUGGAAUUUUACAACUAUAUAAAAAGUUUCCUUUGCCUAAGAAACAAUAUUUACUGUGUGUACAUAUUUGUCUGACAAAGCAAGUUUUCUACUGUCCAGCACCCUAGUUGACAAAGUACAACUAUCUCAAAAGGGAUAUUACAGGAUUUCCAAAAAACAACCUUCAGUGGAUCAAAACACUCACAGUAUCGACGGCCUUCUGCAUACAAUUGUCCUUGUAACUUGCGGCAAUUAUUAAAUACAGUUUAGUAAUAAGAAAAAUCCUUUCAGUGAUGAAAAAAUACUUAAAUUCCAUCGAAGUACUGCUUUAUAGCUAACUAUACAUAAGAAAUUACUUACCCUUCUAUCUCAAAUAUAUUUAAUGCUCCUUGUUUUCAAAGAUGGCCAUUUUUCAAAAAGUAACUGCAUUAACCCCCUUUGAAAUUAAAUAGUUAAAUCCCAGUGCUGGUGACAAGUAUACAGCAAAUUAACUUCAUUCUUUGCAAACUAAUUCUCUUGACCAUGAAGAUCUAGAAGUUCACCUGGUUCCAGCUUUCUUGUAGACUAUGCAGAAACUUUGUUGUCUUUCUAGAAGAGAUGUUAGAAUGUUAUAUUUUGUUCAAACAUAUUUGUAGUCAAACUAGUUUGAGAAUAUGGAAAAUGAUUAAUUGAUUUUAGAUGGCCACACACACAAAAAAGACAUCACAGUAUUUUUCCCAAAGGCUAUUAACAGAAUCACAGAAAAAAUGCUUUUUAUAAUUAAUUUUAACUUCUAUUCAAUGCACCCCUCAUAGUCCAGCACACUUAAAGGACGCUCGUCAUCCAGGCUUGGAAACACUUAUGGCAUUAUAGAUUAUGUAAAAAUACCAACUUUCCAGCCAGCCUAGUUGCUGCAUUAUGCACCCACUUCUGCUCAAGCCUCAGAUGUUGCCUCACUCCAUGUCAAUGCUACUGGCUGCUGACUGGAUAAAGCAUGCUCAGAUCCCAAAGGAGCUCAGAACUACAGGACUAACCCCUAGCAGUUUGUGAAGAAUGACUGACAGAGUCAGGAAGUUGUGCCAAUGCAAGAAAAUUCAGGAUUCCAUAAUGAAUAUUUCAGAAAAAUAUCAUGAAAAUUUCUAAGUAACAACUGCCUACCCCCCUCUCCCCUUCCCAGCGAACUAUCACAAGAACAUGUAUUCAAUCUGGGCCAGGAUUUUAACAUAGGCUUACUUCUAUCUAUUUUUGUUUACUUGAUGUAUGCCACUCAGCGUGGAUAAUAAACGGUCACAUUCAUAUUUUUUCUGGUCUGACUAACUUUCUGGUUCUAGAGCAGUGAUGCAACGUUUGGGAAAAUGUGAAGUGGUUUUCACUGAAAUAGUGACAUUAUAAAAGUUUCAAUAUUGGAAUCAAUGGAGCUAUGACGACUUAUCCCAGCAAAGGAUCUGGCCAAUUAUGGUUCUGAGUUUAAAAAAAAAAAAAAAUUUUUUUUUUUUUUUUUUUUUUUUUUAAAAAGUGCCAAAUCUAUCUGAAGUGUCCCUUUAACCAAAUGCAUCACUUGGCAGUUGCUGCUUAGGGAUGUCAACCUGCUCUGCCCUUCCUAGAAGGCACUAGAAACCAGAGGAGAUAUGAUCUCAAUCACAACUCCAAAGAAUACAUCAUAUAACUUUUUGAGGUGGUCAUUUUAGAGUGUAUAUAUUUUGGGGAAGGACUAUUUCUCACUUAACUCAGUGGCUCAGCCCAUCCUGAACACAAACUAUUUCAGUUGGACAACUAUGGUCUCAUCUCUUAUUCUUAGGGGGACUUCAAGCUUUCUUAAUGUUAUAUUUAUAUAAUUAAGACACUGAAUUUAAGACAGUAAGGAAGUAUGGAUAAAUUUGAGCUAUUUUUGCAGUUUCAACAGUGGAUGACAUGGGAAAUUCCUUUCUUCCAAGUUCUUCCUAUCCCUGUGUAGCCUUCCAUGGCACAGUUUUUAUAAUGUCAAAAAGUGAAAAUAAUCAUCUUCAUUAGAUCUUGCAUAAGAGCAAUUGUAAGCACAUUAGAAACUGUCUUGGCCAUAGCCUUAAUUCUCAGUUUGAUUCUUUAGAGCUAAAAUGAGACUUCUGCAGAGGGCCAACUCAAGGCAUCUGCAUCUCUAAGUUCAACUAACAUCCUACUCUGAGGGUUUAAGUGGGAUUUAACAAGUGCAUAGGACUUGUUCUGACCCCUCUGUAUGGGAGUGAAUUUAAUCCCUAAAGAACAAUUGUUUUUGUGGAAGACUGCAGAAGGAACUUGAGUAUGAAAUGCCUGCGCAGGAUGAGAGCUUAAAGCGGCUUACUGCUGUUUUAGAAAAUUAUGUUUCUCCAAAGAAAAUAUCAGAACUAUGGAAAUUUUAAAGCUUUUAAUAUUUUGUUUACUGUGAAAGAUUUAAAAAUGGGUGAUGAAUCCUGCAGUAAAGCAGUUUAAGCUACAAAAAAAAGAGUUCAACCCUCCUCUUCAAAUCCUUGUAUUUUCAGAAUACUGCUUAAUAAAUGCCUCUGUUCCAACUGCCUUUCCUGACUGUACAAUCCCAAAGGGCACUUGAUCAGGUCCUAAGUUCUUAUUGAUGGCGUAACCUUCAAAUUUCACUAAACAAAAAGUAUUCUAUUAAUACAAGUUUUUUAUUAUUACCCUAUAUUCAAAGUCAGCAAACUCCCUGCCUCCACGACCACCUCUGAAUCCACCACGAAAUCCUCGAGGAGCGCCGAAGCCACCUCUUCCACCUCCACGUCCUCUGCCACCACGGAAACCAAUUCCUCCUCUACCGCGGUAGCCGCCACGACCACGAUUUGAACGCAGUGGUAUUCCGAAAGUCUCCGCAUUUAACCUCCUUUCUUCAGCCCAGGUUGGCCUCCUUUCUCUAUCAUGUACAAAGUGAUAAGAGCUCUUUAAAAUGUGUCUAAAUUUUCACUUUGAAACAGCCUACAGUGAGAGAGCCUGUCCAGAAGCACUUAAAUCACCACAAAAGGCACUACAAUGAAACACUUCGCUUAUCUAUCAUAUUUAAGUUUUGCUUGAGGUGAUACCUAUUUGUAGUAUCUGAAUGCCUGGCACAAUAAUCCUUUUAGUAUAAUGGAAAGGAAUGUUUUACUGUAGCUAGAUACUGUAAUAUUGCACUGAGAAUUUCACUUUAAGAUGGAAUGCUGCCUUGUGUACUCUACAUUCUGCACAAUUACAAAGGCUCUGUGUUGAUUCAAACAGGAAGUUGAGAAAAUUAGUACCACCAGGAAACUUGAAAUUAGGCCUUAGUUUUCUAUUUUCUCUAUCUGAUGGCACUGAAACAGCACUGAACCUCCAACCGGUGCAAAGAAGUUGCAGAAAUCCAAAUUGUUGCCUUCCUGCUAUCAGUUCAUCACUGGGGAAGCACUGAAUCAACUCUCAAAAAGUGCAUCAAUCCAUCAAAGGACCUGUGUUUUAUUCUGCAUAUUUUUAUACUGGGAAAUUGCAAGUGGGAUUGAACUUCGGUUGCUUUCCAACCAUAGUCAUAAACUUCAUUUUUAAACUAUAAACAAAUUAAUGCUGAUGCACUAUAUUAUGGAAUAGACAUGCACUGAGGAGAAUAAUUGGCUUCCCAUUGCAGGGCAUACCUAUUGUCAUCACAAGAGAUGUUAUCAAAAAAGGAUUUGGUUUUGUCAUAGUAGCAGUUGGGUCCAAGUGGAUCUUCUUCAUCAGCAUUCCCUUCACUGUUUUGGGUGUCAACACCUGAGUCACCUUUAUCUUCCCCAUUUACAGGCUUCUCUGGUUUCUCAAGUUUAUCUUCUAGAAAAAUAAAAAUAAUCAGAAUUCUUCCAUUCUAAUAAGAUUUAACAGAAAAGGCUAAAACUAACUUGUGACAAAAUCUAAUUUUUAAAAUACAAAAAAUCCUAAAGCCUAAACAUAAAAAGUGCAACUGUUCAAAAAAAUCUGACUUUCAUAUGGUUCCCAUAUGAAAGAACAUAUAUAGCAGUUAGUUAUGACACUCAGAAUUUAGAGGGAAAACUUCUGGAAGUUCUAAUACAUGGGAAUAACCAUGAGGUAACACCAUGGAGAGAAGGUCAGUAUCCAAUUGUAAAUAGUCACAAGGUGUUGCCAUCUAUUAACUAGACCUUCUAAAUUAGGCUUUGUGUUGUUGCUGUCCAGCGGACUGAGGUCCCCUUGAUUUUUUGCAGAUUAAAUAAGGUGGUAUUAGUAGGUGAGAUAUGAAAAUCAUUUUAUAGUUCUGGAUAAAAUGUAUUAUACUUGUGUGGAAGUGUGAAUUUAUUAGAUUAACAGGACUAAAGAUCUGUAUUAUUUAAUAUACUUGAACAGAACAUAUAAUUAAUGACAAAUACAUGAAAAAAAAAAACAACUUUGCCUCUUCAUCCUCUAAGUACUUUGAUAUACUAUAGAGGACUCCACCUCAAUGUUAUAAUGCAUUGCUAAGUUAACCGGUUCUGUAACAGUCCCCAAAAGUUAAAUUAUCGUGCUUGGAUCUCAAUGCCUUGCCAAAAAAGGGAAAAAUAAAAUGAUACAUUAUCAAAACCUGAA
Molecule: long non-coding RNA, 6636 nt
Organism: Chelonia mydas (Green sea turtle)
Lineage: Eukaryota; Metazoa; Chordata; Testudines; Cheloniidae
Exons: 3
Source: RefSeq, a predicted model, not a curated record